Molecule: ribosomal RNA, 626 nt
Filed under: Purpureocillium lilacinum
Lineage: Eukaryota; Fungi; Ascomycota; Sordariomycetes; Hypocreales; Ophiocordycipitaceae
Description: LSU rRNA
Rfam family: Eukaryotic large subunit ribosomal RNA (bases 1-553)
Source: RNAcentral
CGGCGAGUGAAGCGGCAACAGCUCAAAUUUGAAAUCUGGCCCCCAGGGCCCGAGUUGUAAUUUGCAGAGGAUGCUUUUGGCGCGGUGCCUUCCGAGUUCCCUGGAACGGGACGCCAUAGAGGGUGAGAGCCCCGUCUGGUCGGACGCCUAGCCUGUGUAAAGCUCCUUCGACGAGUCGAGUAGUUUGGGAAUGCUGCUCUAAAUGGGAGGUAUAUGUCUUCUAAAGCUAAAUACCGGCCAGAGACCGAUAGCGCACAAGUAGAGUGAUCGAAAGAUGAAAAGCACUUUGAAAAGAGGGUUAAAUAGUACGUGAAAUUGUUGAAAGGGAAGCGCUUGUGACCAGACUUGGGCCCGGUGGAUCAUCCAGCGUUCUCGCUGGUGCACUCCGCCGGGUUCAGGCCAGCAUCAGUUCGCCGCGGGGGAAAAAGGCUUCGGGAACGUGGCUCCUACGGGAGUGUUAUAGCCCGUUGCAUAAUACCCUGGGGCGGACUGAGGUUCGCGCUCCGCAAGGAUGCUGGCGUAAUGGUCAUCAGCGACCCGUCUUGAAACACCGCGAAACACAAAACAACAACCCUUCUAAGGAAACCGUGAACUGACUCGCCCCUCGGUAUUAUGCAACGGGCUAU